This 96-nucleotide microRNA precursor is filed under the name Nicotiana attenuata. Its description in RNAcentral is "MIR6152 microRNA precursor family". It matches the Rfam family "MIR6152 microRNA precursor family". The record is from Rfam by way of RNAcentral. Lineage: Eukaryota; Viridiplantae; Streptophyta; Magnoliopsida; Solanales; Solanaceae.
UGGACAUAUUAUUGUAUUCGACUGUAUUCACGGCGUGAAACGGGGGAUUACAUUGUUUUUAAACGGAAAGUGAAUCAAUUAACAUAAUAGACUCCU